Alligator sinensis (Chinese alligator) is the source of this 290-nucleotide long non-coding RNA. RefSeq lists it as uncharacterized. The record is from RefSeq and is a predicted model, not a curated record. NCBI's taxonomy places the organism in Eukaryota, Metazoa, Chordata, Crocodylia, Alligatoridae. The transcript is spliced from 3 exons.
GGCCUGAGCUGCUCACUGCUAACAACUUAGCAGUCGCAUGGAAAAUCUGCAUUCAUCUUAACAACAGAAAAUUCCCUCAAGAAAGCAGGGCCUGGGUGAUUAGAAAUGGUUUUCUUGACCUUCGACAGGCGAUCAAGGAAAGGAAUUGGCAGCAUACUGCAUGCCCUUGGAUGUCAUGAGAGGAGACUUGGGAAGCUGUUUGAGAAGGGAGUUGUAAUGAAAAUUUUAGCUAAAUUCAUUUUGUGGGUGAAGUUUGGAAGCCAAACCCUUCUUCAAUAAGUGUAUUUAAC